UACAGGGGGGGCAAGCGUUGUUCGGAAUUACUGGGCGUAAAGGGCUCGUAGGUGGCCACUUAAGUCAGACGUGAAAUCCUUCAGCUUAACUGGGGAACUGCGUCUGAUACUGAGUGGCUUGAGUGCAGGAGAGGAAUGCGGAAUUCCAGGUGUAGCGGUGAAAUGCGUAGAUAUCUGGAGGAACACCGGUGGCGAAGGCGGCAUUCUGGACUGUAACUGACACUGAGGAACGAAAGCCAGGGGAGCAAACGGG
RNAcentral lists this ribosomal RNA (253 nucleotides) under uncultured bacterium. RNAcentral describes it as "partial 16S ribosomal RNA". It matches the Rfam family "Bacterial small subunit ribosomal RNA", at positions 524 to 776 of the family's 1533-position model. The record is from RNAcentral.